UACUACACCAUGUAGGAUGCCCCACAC
RNAcentral lists this non-coding RNA (27 nucleotides) under Mus musculus (house mouse). Lineage: Eukaryota; Metazoa; Chordata; Mammalia; Rodentia; Muridae. The record is from RNAcentral.